Molecule: ribosomal RNA, 492 nt
Filed under: uncultured bacterium
Lineage: Bacteria
Description: partial 16S ribosomal RNA
Rfam family: Bacterial small subunit ribosomal RNA
Source: RNAcentral
GAUGAACGCUAGCUACAGGCUUAACACAUGCAAGUCGAGGGGAAACGACAUCGAAAGCUUGCUUUUGAUGGGCGUCGACCGGCGCACGGGUGAGUAACGCGUAUCCAACCUGCCCAUCACUUGGGAAUAACCUUGCGAAAGUAAGACUAAUACCCAAUGACAUCCCACGAAGACAUCUGAAUGGGAUUAAAGAUUUAUCGGUGAUGGAUGGGGAUGCGUCUGAUUAGCUUGUUGGCGGGGUAACGGCCCACCAAGGCAACGAUCAGUAGGGGUUCUGAGAGGAAGGUCCCCCACAUUGGAACUGAGACACGGUCCAAACUCCUACGGGGGGCAGCAGUGAGGAAUAUUGGUCAAUGGGCGAGAGCCUGAACCAGCCAAGUAGCGUGCAGGAUGACGGCCCUAUGGGUUGUAAACUGCUUUUAGAAGGGAAUAAAGUGGGUCUCGUGAGACUUUUUGCAUGUACCUUAUGAAUAAGGACCGGCUAAUUCCGCG